Molecule: long non-coding RNA, 1375 nt
Filed under: Homo sapiens (human)
Lineage: Eukaryota; Metazoa; Chordata; Mammalia; Primates; Hominidae
Description: HSALNT0023330
Source: RNAcentral
GAGUAGGUGACACCACCACACUUCGUCAAAGGCGAGUUCCCUUCAUAGCAGCCUCUGUUUGACAUGUGUAUUUACUUUAUAGAAUUUCCUAAUGGUUACUGUGUUUGAGCCUCCAUGGCUGCUUCAUAGAGAAGUCUGAGAAACAAAUUUAUUUUCCUUUCAUUAAGACAGUCUUACUGUCCAGUAACCCUGGCUGUAGGUACUACACUGACCUCUAGAUGCCACCACAUAACAGUUUGUUAUUGCAUCAGCAUAGAGUGGUUUUGGGGGUGUAUAUACACCCAAAACCUCACUCUGUAUUUUUGUCAAAUUUUAAGAGAAUAUGACAAAUUAUUUUAUAGAAAUACAUUUGUGGUAAUAAAUUUUAUAGUAAUAAAUUUGAAAAUAUUGACAAUUUGGCCAGUUCCUAGAAAUAUAUCAAAAGUGACACAAAAAUAAGUAGAUAACUCUAGUAGUCCUAGAAACUUAAAAAAAUGGAACCAUGAAAACCAUCUGCUCAUAGCAAAAGAUGUAAGCCUGGUGGCUCUAAUUGCUAAAUUAUACUAAAUAUUUAGGAAAGAAAUUAUUCUAUGUUCAUACAGAUUCUUCUACUAGGGAACAGAAAAGCAGAUAUACUCCCCAGAUAGUCUUGUAGAAACAUGAUAUAGCCUAGGGCAGUGGCUCAUGCCUGUAAUCCCAACACUUUGGGAGGCCAAGCCCAGGAGGUUGAGGUUAUAGUGAACUAUGAUGGCACCACUGCACUCCAGCUAGGUCAACAGAUUGAGACUCUUGUCUCAAAAAAGAAAAAAAAAGAAAAAUAAGAAAUAUAAUAUGGAUAUCAAAAUAUGACAAGGAAUGUUAACAAGGAUUAAAAUUUUAGACCAAUCUAUUAUGGAUAUCAAGGCAAAAUAUUAGCAACUGAAUUUAGCUAUCUAUCAAGAGGAUAAGACCCUCUAAGGAAGGAUGUAGUCCCAGAAUGCAAGGCUGGUUUAGUUUUAGAAACAAGUGCAUCUAUAUAAAGGAUGAUGGAAUUGGAUGCAAUGAAAAAAUUAUGUGAUCUCAAUAAAUACAGAAUACAAUGUUUGAUUAAAUUUAAUAUUAAAGUUCAGAGGUAAUAUUUGAUAAAAUUCAGCAUCAAUUCAUGCCAUGAAAUUCUUAACAAAUUAUAAAGUAUCGUUCUUUAAUCUGGUCAGUGGUACUGCAGAAAACACCAGGUAACUGCAUAUUUAAAGAGAACCUUGAAAGCUUUGCCUUUGAGAUAGGAAUCAGCACGUAGAAGCCAACCAUCCCAACUUCCAUUCAGCACUGUACAGCAGAGAAAGGAGGAAAAGAAAAGAAAAGGUAUAACACUUGGAGAAAAACAUAAGUGGGAUUCACAGAUUAUAUGAGUAUCAAU